UACGUAGGGUGCAAGCGUUGUCCGGAAUUAUUGGGCGUAAAGAGCUCGUAGGCGGUUUGUCGCGUCUGCUGUGAAAACCCGAGGCUCAACCUCGGGCCUGCAGUGGGUACGGGCAGACUAGAGUGCGGUAGGGGAGAUUGGAAUUCCUGGUGUAGCGGUGGAAUGCGCAGAUAUCAGGAGGAACACCGGUGGCGAAGGCAGUUCUCUGGGCCGUAACUGACGCUGAGGCGCGAAAGCUAGGGGAGCGAACGGG
This 253-nucleotide ribosomal RNA is filed under the name uncultured bacterium. RNAcentral describes it as "partial 16S ribosomal RNA". It matches the Rfam family "Bacterial small subunit ribosomal RNA", at positions 524 to 776 of the family's 1533-position model. The record is from RNAcentral.